GCCAACUUAGCUCAACUGGUAGAGCAACUGACUUGUAAUCAGUAGGUUGGGGGUUCAAGUCCCCCAGUUGGCU
This 73-nucleotide transfer RNA is filed under the name Spirochaetota bacterium. RNAcentral describes it as "Spirochaetes bacterium (hot springs metagenome) tRNA-Thr". It matches the Rfam family "tRNA". Rfam says of the family: Transfer RNA (tRNA) molecules are approximately 80 nucleotides in length. The record is from RNAcentral. Lineage: Bacteria; Pseudomonadati; Spirochaetota.